UACGGAGGGUGCAAGCGUUAUCCGGAUUUAUUGGGUUUAAAGGGUACGUAGGCGGUAUUAUAAGUCAGUGGUGAAAUCCUUCAGCUUAACUGAAGACCUGCCAUUGAUACUGUAGUACUUGAAUACUCUUGAGGUAGGCGGAAUAUGUAGUGUAGCGGUGAAAUGCUUAGAUAUUACAUAGAACACCGAUUGCGAAGGCAGCUUACUAAGGAGUUAUUGACGCUGAUGUACGAAAGCGUGGGUAGCGAACAGG
RNAcentral lists this ribosomal RNA (253 nucleotides) under uncultured bacterium. RNAcentral's name for it is "partial 16S ribosomal RNA". It matches the Rfam family "Bacterial small subunit ribosomal RNA", at positions 524 to 776 of the family's 1533-position model. The record is from RNAcentral.